UGGGAAGUGCGAAUGCUGACAUGAGUAGCGAUAAAGCGGGUGAAAGGCCCGCUCGCCGUAAGCCCGAGGUUUCCUGCGCAACGUUCAUCGACGCAGGGUGAGUCGGCUCCUAAGGCGAGGCAGAAAUGCGUAGUCGAUGGGGAACAGGUUAAUAUUCCUGUACCGUUAUCUGAUGCGAUUGGGGAGACGGAGAAGGUUAUGCAAGCCGGGUGUUGGAAGUCCUGGUUUAAGCGUGUAGGCGUGGCUCUUAGGCAAAUCCGGGGGUCUUAGCCGAGGCGUGAUGACGAGUCCUCUUAGGGGGAUGAAGUUGCAGAUACCCCGCUUCCAAGAAAAUCCUCUAAGCUUCAGUCAGAUGAUGACCGUACCGCAAACCGACACAGGUGGGCGAGAUGAAUAUUCUCAGGCGCUUGAGAGAACUCAGGAGAAGGAACUCGGCAAAUUGACACCGUAACUUCGGAAGAAGGUGUGCCGCUAGUAGGUGAAGGAGUACAUCCGGAGCCCAAUGCGGUUGCAAAGAAUAGGUGGCUGCGACUGUUUAAUAAAAACACAGCACUCUGCAAACACGAUGAGUGGACGUAUAGGGUGUGACGCCUGCCCGGUGCCGGAACGUUAAAUGAUGGGGUGCAAGCUCUUGAUUGAAGCCCCGGUAGACGGCGGCCGUAACUAUAACGGUCCUAAGGUAGCGAAAUUCCUUGUCGGGUAAGUUCCGACCUGCACGAAUGGCGUAACGAUGGCCACGCUGUCUCCUCCUGAGACUCAGCGAAGUUGAAAUGUUUGUGAUGAUGCAAUCUACCCGCGGCUAGACGGAAAGACCCCAUGCACCUUUACUGUAGCUUUACAUUGGACUGUGAACCAAUCUGUGUAGGAUAGCUGGGAGGCGAUGAAGCGGGAGCGCUAGCUCUCGUGGAGCCAACCUUGAAAUACCAGCCUGGUUUGUUUGCGGUUCUAACCUAGCCCCCUCAUACGGGGGUGGGGACCGUGUAUGGUAGGCAGUUUGACUGGGGCGGUCUCCGCCCAAAGAGUAACGGAGGAGCUCGAAGGUACGCUAGGUACGGUCGGACAUCGUACUGAUAGUGCAAUGGCAUAAGCGUGCUUGACUGCGAGACUGACAAGUCGAGCAGGUGCGAAAGCAGGACAUAGUGAUCCGGUGGUUCUGAAUGGAAGGGCCAUCGCUCAACGGAUAAAAGGUACGCUGGGGAUAACAGGCUGAUUCCUCCCAAGAGUUCACAUCGACGGGGGAGUUUGGCACCUCGAUGUCGGCUCAUCACAUCCUGGGGCUGUAGCCGGUCCCAAGGGUAUGGCUGUUCGCCAUUUAAAGUGGUACGUGAGCUGGGUUUAAAACGUCGUGAGACAGUUUGGUCCCUAUCUG
This 1369-nucleotide ribosomal RNA is filed under the name groundwater metagenome. RNAcentral describes it as "bacterial LSU rRNA". It matches the Rfam family "Bacterial large subunit ribosomal RNA", at positions 1282 to 2644 of the family's 2925-position model. The record is from RNAcentral.